AAAGUGCCGCCAGGUUUUAGGGCC
Molecule: microRNA, 24 nt
Filed under: Rattus norvegicus (Norway rat)
Lineage: Eukaryota; Metazoa; Chordata; Mammalia; Rodentia; Muridae
Description: Rno-Mir-430-P5a_3p* (star (passenger))
Source: RNAcentral